Molecule: ribosomal RNA, 393 nt
Filed under: uncultured bacterium
Lineage: Bacteria
Description: partial 16S ribosomal RNA
Rfam family: Bacterial small subunit ribosomal RNA
Source: RNAcentral
AUACGGAGGAUCCGAGCGUUGUCCGGAUUUAUUGGGUUUAAAGGGAGCGUAGGUGGAUUGUUAAGCCAGUUGUGAAAGUUUGCGGCUCAACCGUAAAAUUGCAGUUGAAACUGGCAGUCUUGAGUACAGUAGAGGUGGGCGGAAUUCGUGGUGUAGCGGUGAAAUGCUUAGAUAUCACGAAGAACUCCGAUUGCGAAGGCAGCUCACUAGACUGUUACUGACACUGAUGCUCGAAAGUGUGGGUAUCAAACAGGAUUAGAUACCCUGGUAGUCCACACAGUAAACGAUGAAUACUCGCUGUUUGCGAUAUACAGUAAGCGGCCAAGCGAAAGCAUUAAGUAUUCCACCUGGGGAGUACGCCGGCAACGGUGAAACUCAAAUGAAUUGACGGGG